Molecule: ribosomal RNA, 433 nt
Filed under: uncultured bacterium
Lineage: Bacteria
Description: partial 16S ribosomal RNA
Rfam family: Bacterial small subunit ribosomal RNA
Source: RNAcentral
AACGAACGCUGGCGGCAUGCCUAACACAUGCAAGUCGAACGAGACCUUCGGGUCUAGUGGCGCACGGGUGCGUAACGCGGGGGAACCUGCCCUUAGGUUCGGAAUAACUCCCCGAAAGGGGUGCUAAUAACGGAUAAUGUCUUCGGACCAAAGAUUUAUGGCCUUUGGAUGGGGCCGCGUUGGAUUAGCUAGUUGGUAGGGGAAAAGCCUACCAAGGCGACGUUCCAUAGCUGGUCUGAGAGGAUGAUCAGCCAGACUGGGACUGAGACACGGCCCAGACUCCUACGGGAGGCAGCAGUGGAGAAUAUUGGACAAUGGGCGAAAGCCUGAUCCAGCAAUGCGGGGUGAGUGAGGAAGGGCUUAGGGUUGUAAAGCUCUUUUAGCCGGGAUGAUAAUGACAGUACCGGGAGAAUAAGCUCCGGCUAACUCCGUG